Molecule: long non-coding RNA, 1480 nt
Filed under: Apteryx haastii (Great spotted kiwi)
Lineage: Eukaryota; Metazoa; Chordata; Aves; Apterygiformes; Apterygidae
Description: lncRNA (ENSAHAG00000001969.1)
Source: RNAcentral
AUGAUAGAUACAGAACAGAGCAAGAAGCAUUACUGCAAAAGUAUUCUAUCAUAUUCUGUGCCCACAUUUAUUCAAAGUAAUUUUCAAAAGGUAGCGAUAUUCCAUUCAGGUUACCUGUUCUCUAUUUUUACUGCACAGCACACACUAGCCAAUGCUGCCCAUCUCUUUUCAGCUUUUCAAGCUAUCUGCACAAAUAUCAGCUACUGGUAUCAGCGAUCACAGCAACAACUCUGGUCUUUGAGCCACCCUUCAGGUUUUGCUGUCCAGCCUACACCCUUUGCAGCUGCACCCUUGGGUACCUCCCUGUCAGGCAAUCGAUCCCACAGAGAAGUUUCCCUUCUGCUUUUGAUGGAGGCGGGGGAAAUUUGGACAUGGGAGGUUUCACGGGUUUCAGGGGCGAUUUCUACAUCCCACAGGCAAAAGAGGUCUCCUGCACCUAGGAAGAACCUCAGGGAGGCCACGGGACUUCUCUGCCUUUAACAUUGUUGCUUUAAUGAGCAGUGUUAGGCUUAAAGAGUAACUUUUCAGAUUCUGCUUCAGGUUCUGAGGAGAGACAAACACACUGGAGAAGCAGGUACGUGCAUCAAGCUGGAAAGAAAGAUCCAUAGGUUUAUUUCACGUAGGUGGGAAGAAAAACAAGAAUAUUGCUGCUGCACUCUUAUGUAAGGAAGGAAAAGUACUUUAGUUAUAAAAAUAUCACAUCUGUGACCAAAUCAGAUGGGAAUAUUUCCUGUUAGGAAACAGGUGGGCAAAAAGCCUCACACCUAUUUCCUUUAAUCUCUGCCUAAAGGUUUUUGUGUUUUUUUGUUUUGUUUUGUUUUUGUGAGUGAUCAGUCUGGCACAAUGACAUUCUCCACAUUUAAAGUUACAUAUUUUUAUGUAUAACAUAACACAAUGAUGCAACCUUUUUGCAGUUCAGCUACAACAGAAUUCUCACAUUACAGAAAAUAAUCUUAUCCCAUUGCAAAGUUCAUCCUUUCUAAAUUGCUUUGCAGCCAUAUCAUAUGUAUAAAUAGCUUGACGUAGAGUGGGCAAAAAACAGGGAAACCAAAAUGAAGAAACCUAGACAGAAAGUUUCAGCGGGGUAACAGGAGUGUAACAUUCACAAAAACAUAUAUCAACUCCCGUUGGCUUUACUGGAUCAGGAAAAAUUCCUGUUCACCUCGCUGGAAAUUUUAACUUGAAAAAGGAUGGUGGGAUUGCUCUCACAGUUUUAAAUAACUGAAACAGAAAUGCCAACUCCACUGCCAAAUAAUAACCCAGAGACUUAAAAAAGCAGAGAACAUGAAACUUCCCGGGUUUCUUUGUUUUUCCCCCUAACUCUACAGAGUGGAUUUGCACAAAGGCAGUCUGCCCCAAAAGCCGUUGUUGCUUUCAGUAGGCCUUUGGUAUUCCAAAGAGACAGUACCUUCCUUUUGAUAUUCCCACCAAAAGUGAUCUUCGAUCGGAACCUGUUUAACUGGUAACCAUAGUAACACUG